GGAGAAAUACCCAAGUCCGGUUGAAGGGACCAGUCUUGAAAACUGGAAGGUCUUAAAAGACGCGGGGGUUCGAAUCCCUCUUUCUCCGCCA
This 91-nucleotide transfer RNA is filed under the name Candidatus Phytoplasma sacchari. Its description in RNAcentral is "tRNA-Ser". It matches the Rfam family "tRNA". From Rfam's summary of the family: Transfer RNA (tRNA) molecules are approximately 80 nucleotides in length. The record is from RNAcentral. Lineage: Bacteria; Bacillati; Mycoplasmatota; Mollicutes; Acholeplasmatales; Acholeplasmataceae.